Molecule: ribosomal RNA, 277 nt
Filed under: uncultured bacterium
Lineage: Bacteria
Description: partial 16S ribosomal RNA
Rfam family: Bacterial small subunit ribosomal RNA
Source: RNAcentral
CAAACCAAAGCUGGCGACCGGCGCACGGGUGAGUAACACGUAUCCAACCUGCCUCAUACUCGGGGAUAGCCUUUCGAAAGAAAGAUUAAUAUCCGAUAGCAUAUAUUUCCCGCAUGGGUUUUAUAUUAAAGAAAUUCGGUAUGAGAUGGGGAUGCGUUCCAUUAGUUUGUUGGGGGGGUAACGGGCCCACCAAGACUACGAUGGAUAGGGGUUCUGAGAGGAAGGUCCCCCACAUUGGAACUGAGACACGGUCCAAACUCCUACGGGAGGCAGCAUG